UAGGAGCAAGAAGGGUUUAAAGACUCUCUCUUCUCAUUCGAUGGGAUGCUCUUAUGGUGUAUAGAGGUGCCAUAUGAUUAAAUCCCAUAAAGAAAAAUGCGAAAGACAGAAUUUACCUUCUACAAAAUCUUAGAUCUUGAAAUCCUAGAUUUGUUGUAUGUGAUACAAAGUUGCAUGAAAUGUAAAAUAUCUAAUCUAUAUGAUUAAAAUUAUUUUGAUCAUGAAAAAAUAAAAUUUAAAAUUAUAAAAAAUUUAGAUAUGAUCUAAAAAGAUAUUGAUGAUUGAUUUUAUUUUAGUAUUAUGCAAGAUUUUUCAGAUCUGAAAUUUUUUAAAACAUGCUCGCACAGUUACUAAGCCG
This 358-nucleotide long non-coding RNA is filed under the name Elaeis guineensis (African oil palm). Its description in RNAcentral is "long non-coding RNA (EGUI_LNC043729)". Lineage: Eukaryota; Viridiplantae; Streptophyta; Magnoliopsida; Arecales; Arecaceae. The record is from RNAcentral.